Non-coding RNA from Mycena floridula, 94 nucleotides. The record is from the annotation of a GenBank genome assembly. Lineage: Eukaryota; Fungi; Basidiomycota; Agaricomycetes; Agaricales; Mycenaceae.
UCCCUGGUAGUAUAUCGGUUAGUACACGCGCCUGUCAUGGCUGUACCAUAAUCUGUGCGCGCGCGAAAGCGGGGUUCGACUCCCCGCCAGGGAG